Molecule: long non-coding RNA, 807 nt
Organism: Pocillopora damicornis (cauliflower coral)
Lineage: Eukaryota; Metazoa; Cnidaria; Anthozoa; Scleractinia; Pocilloporidae
Source: RefSeq, a predicted model, not a curated record
AAACUAAACACUUCAGACAUGACUAGCACAUAGUGAAAGAACCGAAACAGCCAAACACCUCUUGAUUCUGUACUCUACAUAUCUAUUUGAUUUAUAGUAUGAAGCCAUAAACCAAUCUGCGUGCGUACUGGCAAGGGAUGUGGCCAGCAAAGGAGAUGCUCUGGUGGCGGGGAACAUCUCACAGGUGCCGGAUUAUCUAAGCGGGCCUGGAAAGGAGGUAGUGCAGAAAGAAGACAAACGGAUAUUUUUAUCCAGAAUGACGUCGAUUUCUUGAUAGGGGAGCUGUUUUGGUAUGUUGAGCAAGCCGAAUGGGCAACAGAAAUGAUAAAGGCCACAGGGAAACCAGUCGUUGUGUGUCUGUCCAUCAGUUUAACCGGCGAUAUGACUGGUAUUCUGCCUGGGGAAUGCGCUGUUAGAGUAGCACGUGCUGGUAAAAUCCCAGCAUUUGUUUAGCUGUCAUGAAAGAAAUGAAGACUGCUUUGGAAAAAGAAGGUCUUCAACGCCAUCUGAUAGUGCACCUGUUUGUUAUCACACCCCUGAGCUGACAUAUGACCGCAUAGGAUUGUCUGGUCUGCCUGAGUUCCCAUUUGCUCUUGAAUCUCGCCCAAUGAGCCGCUAGGACGUGCAGAAGUACGCUCGUGAGGCGUAUGACAUGGGAAUCAGGUACAUUGGAGCCUGCCGUGGAUAUGAGCCUUAUCGUGUUCGAGUCAUAGCGGAAGUGCUCGCUAAAGGGAGGGGUAAAUUACCUCCAGCUAGCGAGAAGCAUGGCCUGUGGGGAGACGCCCUACGGCAGCACACUCAUCCGUG